AUGAAAAUCUUAUCCUAGAACUGUCGAGGACUUGGGUUGGACUCGACGGUGGGCGAAUUACGAGACCUGGUUAGGUCCUACAACCUAGCGGUGGUGUUCUUAUGUCAAACGAAGAAGAAGGCGAGAGCGAUGGGCAUGCUUAAAUGGAGUUUGGGUUUUAGAAAUGGGGUGGCUGUGGACUAUAAUGGAAAGAGUGGGGGCUUGGCCCUUUCAUGGAGAGACCAUGUUCAGGUCACAGUGAGAUCGUGGAGUCAAUACUUCAUUGAUGCUGAGAUUUUGUGUGAGGGGAAGACCUCUAGGAUCACUGGAUUCUAUGGGGAGCCAAAUACAGAAACAAGGAAGAAAUCUUGGGAGGCAAUCCGAUAUCUAUGA
This 372-nucleotide ribosomal RNA is filed under the name Triticum aestivum (bread wheat). Its description in RNAcentral is "partial small subunit ribosomal RNA". Lineage: Eukaryota; Viridiplantae; Streptophyta; Magnoliopsida; Poales; Poaceae. The record is from RNAcentral.